CCUACGGGAGGCAGCAGUGGGGAAUAUUGGGCAAUGGGCGCAAGCCUGACCCAGCAACGCCGCGUGAAGGAAGAAGGCUCUCGGGUUGUAAACUUCUUUUAUCAGGGACGAAGCAAGUGACGGUACCUGAUGAAUAAGCCACGGCUAACUACGUGCCAGCAGCCGCGGUAAUACGUAGGUGGCAAGCGUUAUCCGGAUUUACUGGGUGUAAAGGGCGUGUAGGCGGGAAAGCAAGUCAGAUGUGAAAACCAUGGGCUCAACCUGUGGCCUGCAUUUGAAACUGUUUUUCUUGAGUACUGGAGAGGCAGACGGAAUUCCGUGUGUAGCGGUGAAAUGCGUAGAUAUACGGAGGAACACCAGUGGCGAAGGCGGAUUGCUGGACAGUAACUGACGCUGAGGCGCGAAAGCGUGGGGAGCAAACAGGAUUAGAUACCCCAGUAGUC
RNAcentral lists this ribosomal RNA (443 nucleotides) under uncultured bacterium. Its description in RNAcentral is "partial 16S ribosomal RNA". It matches the Rfam family "Bacterial small subunit ribosomal RNA", at positions 338 to 795 of the family's 1533-position model. The record is from RNAcentral.